Molecule: non-coding RNA, 18 nt
Filed under: Mus musculus (house mouse)
Lineage: Eukaryota; Metazoa; Chordata; Mammalia; Rodentia; Muridae
Source: RNAcentral
UAGGAAAAGUCUGAGUUC